RNAcentral lists this long non-coding RNA (3114 nucleotides) under Xyrichtys novacula (pearly razorfish). Lineage: Eukaryota; Metazoa; Chordata; Actinopteri; Labriformes; Labridae. The record is from RNAcentral.
UGCAAACAGCCUGAAACACAACCUCAUACAGAGAACUCUUCAUCUCUCUCUAUCUCUAUCCCAUCUGUAACCUCAGUAUCAUCUCUAUCUCAACCUACAUUUCCUUCUUUAUCUUGCCUUAUUUCUGUUACUAGUCUCUAUCUGUGUUUCUUUCUCCUGCACAGUGCCUUCUUCAUCUCUAUUUUCUAUAUCUCUAUCCAUUCUUAUCUCCAUCUGCAUCUCUUCCAGAUUUUUUUCUUUUGUUGCACCUCAGUUUCUAUCCUCACCUGUUAGUAUUUGCAUCUCGCUCACUGUCUCCAUUUUUCUUGCUCUUUCUCUGUCUCCAUCUCUAUCUCUGCUGUAGCUCCUUAUUCAUCUUCAUCUCUUUUUUCCACCUCUAUCUCUAUUACUAUAUCAGUCUUAUCUGCAGGUUCUUUUUAUCUAUAUCUCCAUAAUUAUCUCUUUAUCUAUAUCCAUUUCUCUGUCUAUCUCCUGCCUAACUUUUUUUCCUAUUUCCAUCUGUAUUUUGUGUGUCAUCUCCAUCCCCUUCCUUCUUUCUAUCACUGCUCAUCUCUGUCUUUGUUUUGUCUUUCUUUUCUGUCUUGACUCCACACCUAACUCUGUCACCAUGGUUUCUUCACAGAUGUCUCUGUAACUAGUCUUAUUUCAACUCUGCUUCUCUUUCAUCUCAUCUUUUUCUUCUCAUUGUUUCCAUCUCUAUCCCUCAGUCAUCUGUAUCUCAUCUCUUUUUUGAUAUCUAGCUUAUCCUAAUAUUCGUAUCUGUGCAUCAUGGCUCCUGUUUUUUUAUUUUUAUUUUUUCUGUCUCAUCUUCAACUUCUUUUUCCAUCUCUAUAUAUAUUUCCAUCUCAGUCCUUAUCGUCUUUUCAGUCACAGACUUUUAAUCUUUGGUUCUUUUUCUCAAUCUUUAUACAUGCCUCUUUUCCCAUUUCCAUCAUGUUUUUAUCUCUAGCUCAGUCUUUUCCUCCCUCUUCAUCUCCUUUAUAUUUCUAUCUAUUUUUGUGUCUCUAUCUUCCUCUACCCCUAACACAGCUCUAGUUGGUUGUCAGCUGUCCAAAAUGAAGAGCAGGUCAGAUGGUUUGUUUUAAACUGACCCUGAACUUGAUUAAACUCUGACAUAAUAAAGGCCUGAACACACACUGACAACAGACACCUCCCACUCACACUUCCCGUUCAGAGAAGUACUGGGGUGUUUGCCACCACACCCUCAGUCCCCCAGUCACUGUGGUCAGUAUUUGGUAGAUCUACAAGGGUGAGAGGCUGAGAGUGUGAGAGGGGUAUUCAUAUUUCCACAUUUAGGUUUAAAGACAGCAGAGGAAACCACAAACAGGUUGAGUUUUUCAUCAUCAUGCUCACUGUCACUAUACGUUGUAAUUCCCCUCAGUCCUCCGCAUGUUUUCACUCUUGAAAAAUUCACCUGCAGACUUCUCAUUCACUGAGUGGAUGCAUUUAUCCACAGAGGUCUGAAAACUGAGAAAAAAGGAAGUUUCUCAGGAGAGCAUGUCCUUCAGUCAGUGAUUCAGCUUUAUUUUGUGAAGUACUUGCUUCACAAAAAGUUUGAUUCCUCUCUCGUGUGUGUUGUCAGAUUUGAUGCUAUAAAUAGGAGCAGCUUUUCAAGACUAAAAGAGACCACAUGCAUAAAUCUGGCUUGUUUAACUCCUUGACAAGUUAAAAGAUACGCUCCCUUUGUAAAUGACUAUUUUUUUCACAGAGCACCUGGUCAAGAAAAUACUACAUAUCACCCUGACAACAACAUUAUAAGAAACUUUUGAACUUACAAACUUUAUUAGUGUGGGAGAGUUUCCAAUGUUUUAACAGAGACAGAGAUUUUGUACACAUUUAGUGCUUAAUUUAAACUCUUUAUUGAUUUCAUGAAGUAUUCUAUCAUGUGUGAUACUGGAUUUAUGCUUUCGUUAGCUGUCCAAAGACAUCAACAAAAAAAGGCUAAUUAUAUUUAAUUUUACAUGCCACAAAUGAAUAUCUGAAAUUCUCCCUUUGACUUAUUUAUGAUAAAGAGAUGUAUAUAUUGAAGGAUAUAUCAUCACUUCAACCACAAAACAACAAAAGAUCAUGUGUGUUUAAAACGCUCUUUAAUAACAAUCCACCCUGUCACUGUAAAUGUGUCGGAGCUCAAAUUCAGGGCAAGUUCAGUAGUCUUUUAUCUGGAGGCUGUUGGUGGAGAUGCUGGAUGUUGAUUUCAGCAUCGAAACACCCUGAAAGUUUGACCCACACAGCCUUUAAAGUUCUGCUGUUUGGGUUAAAUCACAGCUGGGGAAGUCACAGUUUGACCCAGUGAACACAGAUGUACCUGACAUUUAAAAUUUAAAAGGAAGAGGGGGAGGAAAAAAACACACACAAACCUCAUGUUUCUAAAUAAGUAAAAUCAUCAAGCUGCAGAUGAACCCAAGUGUCUGAUGUCUGAUUUAAAAUAAGUCAUUUAGUCCUUGAAACAUCUGGGUCUCUCAGACGUUGUUUCUGCUGUAAUGUGUGUCUUUGUGUGUCUUUGUGUGUCUCUGUGUGUGUGUCGCUGGUCACCAGAAACAGGCACAAACUGUACGACCAUUUUUGGUCCUUGUUUCUUUCCCAUCGUCACGCCGUCAUCGUCUCCGUUCAGCAAGACCGAGAUCAGGCAACGUCUGGAGGAGGUCCAGACCAAACACAGGGAUCAGGUUUACAGAGUCCGAAUACAGGGACCAGGACUACAGAGUUCAUACUUGGGGACCAGGUUUACAGAGUCCAAGCACAUGGACCAGGUCUACAGAGUUCAAACACAGGGACCAAGACUGAUAGAGUCUGAACAGAAGGACUACCAGGGAUAGUAAAAGUCCCCACAGAGCUGAUAUCUGACCCUCACAUAAAGCUGGAUUCAGCCUGGGUUUGGAGGGUCCUCUGACUUAAAUCUCUGUUUUAUGUCACUGAGUCCCCCUGAGGAGUCCAAGCUCAGGGACCAGGGCUGAUAGAGUCCAAAGACAGGGACCGGGACUACAGAGAUCCUUGUUUUUUAGUCACUUAGUCACCCUGAGGAGUGGUGAUCUCUCUUCCUGAUCAGGGCUGUGUGUAUGCAGAAGACUUUAUCUUCUUUCCUGGACUUCAUCCCUUUGUCUAAGUGCAUUGUCA